RNAcentral lists this ribosomal RNA (492 nucleotides) under uncultured bacterium. RNAcentral describes it as "partial 16S ribosomal RNA". It matches the Rfam family "Bacterial small subunit ribosomal RNA", at positions 29 to 507 of the family's 1533-position model. The record is from RNAcentral.
AGUGAACGCUGGCGGUAGGCCUAACACAUGCAAGUCGAGCGGCAGCACAGUAAGAGCUUGCUCUUACGGGUGGCGAGUGGCGGACGGGUGAGGAAUACAUCGGAAUCUACUUUUUCGUGGGGGAUAACGUAGGGAAACUUACGCUAAUACCGCAUACGACCUACGGGUGAAAGCAGGGGAUCUUCGGACCUUGCGCGAUUGAAGGAGCCGAUGUCGGAUUAGCUAGUUGGCGGGGUAAAGGCCCACCAAGGCGACGAUCCGUAGCUGGUCUGAGAGGAUGAUCAGCCACACUGGAACUGAGACACGGUCCAGACUCCUACGGGAGGCAGCAGUGGGGAAUAUUGGACAAUGGGCGCAAGCCUGAUCCAGCCAUACCGCGUGGGUGAAGAAGGCCUUCGGGUUGUAAAGCCCUUUUGUUGGGAAAGAAAAGCAGCAGGUUAAUACCCCGCUGUUCUGACGGUACCCAAAGAAUAAGCACCGGCUAACUUCGUG